GCCUGGGUGGCUCAGUCUGUUGAGCAUCCGACUUUGGCUCAGGUCAUGAUCUCGCAGUUUGUGGGUUCGAGCCCCACCUCAGGCU
Molecule: transfer RNA, 85 nt
Filed under: Felis catus (domestic cat)
Lineage: Eukaryota; Metazoa; Chordata; Mammalia; Carnivora; Felidae
Rfam family: tRNA
About the family: Transfer RNA (tRNA) molecules are approximately 80 nucleotides in length. Their secondary structure includes four short double-helical elements and three loops (D, anti-codon, and T loops).
Source: Rfam by way of RNAcentral